Molecule: ribosomal RNA, 500 nt
Filed under: uncultured bacterium
Lineage: Bacteria
Description: partial 16S ribosomal RNA
Rfam family: Bacterial small subunit ribosomal RNA
Source: RNAcentral
AUUGAACGCUGGCGGCAUGCUUUACACAUGCAAGUCGAACGGUAACAGGGUGCUUGCACCGCUGACGAGUGGCGAACGGGUGAGUAAUGCGUCGGAACGUGCCGAGUAGUGGGGGAUAACGCAGCGAAAGUUGUGCUAAUACCGCAUACGUACUGAGGUAGAAAGUGGGGGACCUUCGGGCCUCACGCUAUUCGAGCGGCCGACGUCGGAUUAGCUAGUAGGUGAGGUAAAGGCUCACCUAGGCGACGAUCAGUAGCGGGUCUGAGAGGAUGAUCCGCCACGCGGGGACUGAGACACGGCCCAGACUCCUACGGGAGGCAGCAGUGGGGAAGUUUGGACAAUGGGCGAAAGCCUGAUCCAGCCAUGCCGCGUGAGUGAAGAAGGCCUUCGGGUUGUAAAGCUCUUUCAGCUGGAAAGAAAACGCUCGGGAUAAUACUCCGGGCGGAUGACGGUACCAGCAGAAGAAGCACCGGCUAACUACGUGCCAGCCGCCGCGGUAA